GCCGGGUGUGGUGGCUCACACCUGUAAUCCCAGCACUUUGGGAGGCCGAGGCAGGUGGGUCACCUGAGGUCAGGAGUUCGAGACCAGCCUGGCCAACAUGGUGAAACCCCGUCUCUA
This is an unclassified non-coding RNA of Pongo abelii (Sumatran orangutan), 117 nucleotides long. It matches the Rfam family "Metazoan signal recognition particle RNA". From Rfam's summary of the family: The signal recognition particle (SRP) is a universally conserved ribonucleoprotein. The record is from Ensembl. Lineage: Eukaryota; Metazoa; Chordata; Mammalia; Primates; Hominidae.